GACGAACGCUGGCGGCGUGCCUAAUACAUGCAAGUCGAACGCUGAAGGAGGAGCUUGCUUCUCCGGAUGAGUUGCGAACGGGUGAGUAACGCGUAGGUAACCUGCCUGGUAGCGGGGGAUAACUAUUGGAAACGAUAGCUAAUACCGCAUAAGAGUAGAUGUUGCAUGACAUUUGCUUAAAAGGUGCAAUUGCAUCACUACCAGAUGGACCUGCGUUGUAUUAGCUAGUUGGUGAGGUAACGGCUCACCAAGGCGACGAUACAUAGCCGACCUGAGAGGGUGAUCGGCCACACUGGGACUGAGACACGGCCCAGACGCCUACGGGAGGCAGCAGUAGGGAAUCUGCGGCAAUGGACGGAAGUCUGACCGAGCAACGCCGCGUGAGUGAAGAAGGAUGUCGGAUCGGAAAGCUCGGUUGUAAGAGAAGAACGAGUGUGAGAGUGGAAAGUUCACACUGUGACGGUAUCUUACCAGAAAGGGACGGCUAACUACGUG
RNAcentral lists this ribosomal RNA (495 nucleotides) under uncultured bacterium. Its description in RNAcentral is "partial 16S ribosomal RNA". It matches the Rfam family "Bacterial small subunit ribosomal RNA", at positions 28 to 507 of the family's 1533-position model. The record is from RNAcentral.